This 253-nucleotide ribosomal RNA is filed under the name uncultured bacterium. RNAcentral describes it as "partial 16S ribosomal RNA". It matches the Rfam family "Bacterial small subunit ribosomal RNA", at positions 524 to 776 of the family's 1533-position model. The record is from RNAcentral.
UACGUAGGGGGCAAGCGUUGUCCGGAUUUACUGGGCGUAAAGCGCGCGUAGGCGGAAGCUCAAGUCUGGCCUGAAAGCCCCCGGCUCAACCGGGGAGUGGGGCUGGAAACUGGGUUUCUUGAGGGCGAUAGAGGAGUGUGGAAUUCCUGGUGUAGCGGUGGAAUGCGCAGAUAUCAGGAGGAACACCAAUUGCGAAGGCAGCUCGCUGGGACGUUACUGACGCUGAGACGCGAAAGCGUGGGGAGCAAACAGG